Molecule: long non-coding RNA, 3210 nt
Filed under: Homo sapiens (human)
Lineage: Eukaryota; Metazoa; Chordata; Mammalia; Primates; Hominidae
Description: non-protein coding lnc-TIGD2-6:1
Source: RNAcentral
AUAUUUAUAUGUGAGGCUUUGAUCCUGUCAUAUUGUUAAUUGCUUUCAAAUUGUUUUAUAAAUUCUUUGUUUCUUUUUCUCUAAUUUUGUCUUUGUGGUUUGAUGAAAUUAUCAUGUUGUCAUUUUAUUCUUCUCUCUUCCUCCUUUCUGUGAUUGCUUUAUAAGAACUCUGAGUUUCAUAUUUCCAGGUGUUUUCAUGAUGGUGAAUAUUAACUUUUCAUUUCCAUUUUUAAGACGCCUUUGGCCAUUUCCUGUAGGGCCAGUCUAGUGGUGACAGAUUGUCUGAGCAUUUGCUUGUCUAAUAAAAACUUUAGUUCUCCUUCAUCUAUGAAGUAUAUUCUGGAAGGAUAUAAAAUUCUUGGCUGAUAGUUUUUUUUUUCUUUCAGCACUUUGAAAGUGCCAUCCUAUUCUCUUGUGGCCUGUAAGGUUCCUGCUGAAAUGUCCGAUAUUAGACUGAAGGGGUUUCUUAUAUUGAUAAGGUGAUAUGUAUUGUCCUAAGCUUAGGAGAGCUUGCUCUUUCCUGUCCUUCCCAUGGCUAGGUGAUGAGUGCAGCCAUGUUGCCUCAAACUUGGCUUAACAGUGAGGCACAGCCUAGUGUUAAACUCUCAAAAUGGUGCCUUGGGCCUGGGACCAGAAAGAGUCCACAUCACCAAAUCAAAACUAAGUUGUUAUCUGACUUUCUAAAAUCAGGAAAGAGAGAAAAUAUCCAACUUCCCAAACAGGAGCUUCAGUUGGAAUGAAUAGCGAAGUUUCCUGUUUUAAUCCUUAACCUGAAAUAACCUAAUGUUAACCAAACAGUUAUUUUUCUAUUGUUGUGUCUCCCAGCUCCCACCAUAGGCAGAGAGAAUGGGAUUGUUAUUCUAAUUGACAUUUAGAAAUGUCAAAGAGGCUGGGUAUGGUGGCUCAUGCCUAUAAUCUCAGCACUUUGGGAGGCUGAGGUGUUCAAAUGUCAAAUGCAGUCUUUUCAGCUGGAAUGACAAAAACUCAAAGAAAUGCAAGAUCAUAUAUACACCAUAACCUAUGAAGGACAUGUUGAAACUGCAACCCAGCACAACUGAAAGCAGCACUAUUGACCUAGGUCAAUAGGUCAGGCUUUGGCCUGACCAAAAGGGGAAAAUUAUUAAAUAAAAAUUAUAGGAGGCCAUUGUUUUGGACUAAGCACCUGCACGAGGCCCAAGAUGACCAGCCUAAACUUCAAAAAUGAAGUCCCAACUGGGAGCAGUGGCUCAUGCCUGUAAUCCCAGCACUUUGAGAGGCUGAGGUGGGCAGAUCACUUGAGGCCAAGAGUUCAAGACCAGGCUGGCCAACAUGGUAAAACCCUGUCUCUACCAAAAAAUAUAAAAACUUAGUCGGGCGUGGUAGUGUGCACCUGUAGUCCCAGCUACUUGGGAGGCUAAAGCAUGAGAAUGUGUUGAACCUGGCAGGCAGACUGCAGUGAGCUAUGAUCGCGCCACUGCAUUCUAACUUGGGUGACAGAGAGAAACUGUCUCAAAACAACAACAACAAAAAACACACAGAAAUGAAGUCGCCCAUGCUAAAGUUCCACAUAACUAAAACCAAGUUGUUACCGGACUGCCAGAAAAAUCAGGAGAGAGAGAUAGCCUAAUUUCCGAAACAGGCCAGUUUCAAUUGGCAUAAUAAUAAAUUUCUGUCUGUUCUGAUCUUUAACCUAUAUUUUUGGCUACCUGUUCCUGCCAUACAAGGAAAGUAACUUUGAAACUACCAAUCCACUUUUUCUUUGUUUCUGCUUUCUUUAGUCCUUUUUUUUUUGCCUAUGAAGCCAACUUCCUCUGCUUGAUUUCCUAGGACGCUUAUUCUAUAAUAGAAUGAAGUACUGCCUGAUAAUAGAAUCCCAAAUGCAGCUAACUGAGAUCUUUACAGUAAAUUUGUUACAAUUUUGUGUUUUGAUGAGUAAAGUUGAAAGUCAUAGAUAGAUAUUCUCAGGCCUUGAGAGGCUGGUCCUCAGAGGCUGAAAUUACAAAGACGGGUUAUCUAUUAAGUACAGACAUACAUUAUACAUACAGAUAUACACUAUAUUAACGGUGUUAAAAUUUAAUGGGGGCAAGGAAUGAUUAGGGAAAAAAGUCUAAAAACGCUCUUUAGAAGAACAAUAAUGCAAAAAAGAUUGAGAAACACUGCUCUUGUCCCUCCAGUACAUUACUAUGAAUGUUAAACACUGGCUCCUAAUAUAAGAUCAACCUGGAGGUAACUGAACAAUGCAGAAAAGAGCAGAGCUCUUGGAACAAGGGGCUAGCUGGAAGGGUUAAGGGAUGUAUUCAGGAUCCUGGGUUAGAAAAUGGGGGCUCAGGUUCUGGCUCCACAACUCAUAUAGUGUAGGUUUUGGAAAGCUGUUUAACUUUAAACACUAGUUUCUUCUAUUGUAAAAUAGAACUGUUGAUAAUAUUAAUGUUGUAGAGAUCUUAUGAAGAUCAAAUUCUUAAAAAGUUACGUGAAGGAAGCUUUGCAAAACUAUGGGGUCAGAAAACAGUCAGAAGUUACCAGUGGCUGGGGUAAGAGGAGGAGUCAACUAAAAGGGGCAUGAAGGAAUUGUUUGGAAUGAUGGAAAUGGCCUGUAUCUUUUUUUUUUUUUGAGACAGAGUCUCACUCUAUCACCCAGGCUGGAGUGCAGUGGCAUGAUCUCAGCUCACUGCAACCUCCGCCUCCCGGGUUCAAGCAAUUCUCCCGCCUCGGCUUCCUGAGUAGCUGGGAUUACAGGUACAUGCCACCACGCCUGGCUAAAUUUUGUAUUUUUAGUAGAGGCGGGGUUUCACCAUGUUGGCCAGGCUGGUCUCGAACUCCCGACCUCAGAUGAUCCAACCACCUCGGCCUCCCAAAGUGCUGGGAUUACAGGUGUGAGUCACCGUGCCAGCCUGGGCUAUAUGGCUGUAUCUUAAUUGUGGUAGUGGUUAUGACUGUCUGAGAGCAAUAUACUAAAAAAGAUACAUUUUAUAGCAUGUAGAUUGUACUUCAGGAAAACUAACUCUCUAAAAUAAUGCUUUGCAAACUGGUAUUAAACUAGAUCUUUCUAGUCCUGAUCUCUCUUGAGAAUCAAAGUUCAAGACUAAACAUUUAUUCACUGUAAGUAUCAAUUUGCUAAGCUUCUAGACAUUCUUUCUACCUACAAUAACUUUUUUUACAAAACUAAUAUUUUUGUAGUUUUCUUCACCUUUAUUUCUAGCCUUGCUAUUCAACAUAUUAGUUAUCCUCACC